UGAGGAAUAUUGGUCAAUGGUCGGGAGACUGAACCAGCCAAGCCGCGUGAGGGAUGAAGGUGCUAAGCAUUGUAAACCUCUUUUGUCAGGGAACAAAGGCAUCCACGAGUGGGUGUGUGAGUGUACCUGAAGAAAAAGCAUCGGCUAACUCCGUGCCAGCAGCCGCGGUAAUACGGAGGAUGCGAGCGUUAUCCGGAUUUAUUGGGUUUAAAGGGUGCGUAGGCGGCCUGUUAAGUCAGCGGUAAAAGCCCGGGGCUCAACCCGCGAGCGUGAACAUGGCUGGCUGGAGUUGGCGAGAGGUAUGCGGAAUGCGCGGUGUAGCGGUGAAAUGCUUAGAUAUCGCGCAGAACUCCGAUUGCGAAGGCAGCAUGCCGGCGCCACACUGACGCUGAGGCACGAAAGCGUGGGGAUGCAAACAGGAUUAGAUACC
This 430-nucleotide ribosomal RNA is filed under the name uncultured bacterium. Its description in RNAcentral is "bacterial SSU rRNA". It matches the Rfam family "Bacterial small subunit ribosomal RNA", at positions 355 to 786 of the family's 1533-position model. The record is from RNAcentral.